UACCACUGAACUGUUUAAUAUUCUAGAAUUUAUGUUACACAGUAAAAGAUAGACAACUCUGUCUGCAGUUCUGGGACUGGGAUAUGCCUGUGCAUACACGCAUCUGCUCUGUUUUGGUUUCACUUCACUUUAGUUAUUUGAUUUGGUGUCUGCAAAACCCUGUGUGCACAUUUUUAUGAUCCUUGGGACAAUUUACUGCCAACCUUGCUUGAACUCUAAAAUAUGCCUCCAGUUUCGGAAAACCACAAAUUAUUUACCAAGGAGGCAAGGAAAUGGAGGUCACUGGGCUCAUUUCUUACAUAAUUUUCAACUUCCUUUCUGAGGCCUGACAUCUCCCGGCAGUCACAGUGAUGUCUUCCUUAGAUGGAUUCAAUAAUGGGGAAGAACAGAUGAAAAGUGGUGAAAGUUGCUAACUGCUGUGUUCCUCUGCUUGCUUUUCAUGCUGUGUGCCAGGAAUCAAAGCUGGAGGAGCGGAAGAUAUACAGGGAGUCCACGGAGCCUCCCCUGCAAGCAUCAGUACAGAAGUCGAUGAUAAUCUGGAUGCAAGCCCAGGAGUGUGGAGUCCACUGACUCAGAAGACCUGCAUCUAAGGAAUUGGCUGUUCUUAUCCUUAAGAAUGAUGACUGUGUUUCCAAUUCCAGUAGACCCUUUGAUGCGUUCUGAAUAAAUAUUCCUUUUGGAAUUGAACUUCUAGAGCCCUUAA
This 703-nucleotide long non-coding RNA is filed under the name Homo sapiens (human). RNAcentral's name for it is "long intergenic non-protein coding RNA 2217". Lineage: Eukaryota; Metazoa; Chordata; Mammalia; Primates; Hominidae. The record is from RNAcentral.